This 345-nucleotide ribosomal RNA is filed under the name uncultured fungus. Its description in RNAcentral is "SSU rRNA". It matches the Rfam family "Eukaryotic small subunit ribosomal RNA", at positions 21 to 368 of the family's 1831-position model. Lineage: Eukaryota; Fungi. The record is from RNAcentral.
UGUAGUCAUAUGCUUGUCUCAAAGAUUAAGCCAUGCAUGUCUAAGUAUAAGCAAUUAUACAGCGAAACUGCGAAUGGCUCAUUAUAUAAGUUAUCGUUUAUUUGAUAGUACCUUACUACUUGGAUAACCGUGGUAAUUCUAGAGCUAAUACAUGCUAAAAAUCCCGACUUCGGAAGGGAUGUAUUUAUUAGAUUAAAAACCAAUGCCCUUCGGGGCUCUCUGGUGAUUCAUGAUAACUUCUCGAAUCGCACGGCCUUGCGCCGGCGAUGGUUCAUUCAAAUUUCUUCCCUAUCAACUUUCGAUGUUUGGGUAUUGGCCAAACAUGGUUGCAACGGGUAACGGGGA